This 200-nucleotide long non-coding RNA is filed under the name Homo sapiens (human). Its description in RNAcentral is "HSALNT0005464". Lineage: Eukaryota; Metazoa; Chordata; Mammalia; Primates; Hominidae. The record is from RNAcentral.
GUGCCUUCUGCCAACAACUUCUAAGGUGCUGGUGCCAGGAGAGGACUGGGGAGGACGUUGGGAUGGCUAUGGGGCAUGUACAACAUAAAGCAACAGAGAGGUAGGAAAAGAGGAUGGGGGUCAGGGGUGGAGGCUGUGGAAAGGGGAGAGCGAGGGCUGAAGAGAAUGGCAGCCAUACAGGUGUUUUGUUUUUAUUUCCA